Molecule: non-coding RNA, 104 nt
Organism: Caenorhabditis elegans
Lineage: Eukaryota; Metazoa; Nematoda; Chromadorea; Rhabditida; Rhabditidae
Source: Ensembl
AAGGUGGGUGGGAGGGACAAGAGGAAAAGAUGCAUCACACAUCGCCUUUCGCCUCUCCGCCCGAUUCAUCGUCAGUACUACACAACUUGCUGAUGACUUUUGCG